GACGAACGCUGGCGGCGUGCUUAACACAUGCAAGUCGAGCGGUAAGGCCCUUUCGGGGGUACGACGAGCGGCGAACGGGUGAGUAACACGUGGGUGGACCUGCCCUCCAGCUCUGGGAGUAAGCCUGGGAAACCGGGGUCGUAAUACCGGAUAUGACUCCAUGACGCAUGUUGUGGGGUGGAAAGCCUUGUGCGGCUGAGGACGGGCCCGCGGCCUAUCAGCUUGUUGGUGGGGUGAUGGCCUACCAAGGCGACGACGGGUAGCCGGCCUGAGAGGGCGACCGGCCACACUGGGACUGAGACACGGCCCAGACUCCUACGGGAGGGCAGCAGUGGGGAAUCUUGCGCAAUGGGCGAAAGCCUGACGCAGCGACGCCGCGUGAGGGAUGAC
Molecule: ribosomal RNA, 390 nt
Filed under: uncultured bacterium
Lineage: Bacteria
Description: bacterial SSU rRNA
Rfam family: Bacterial small subunit ribosomal RNA
Source: RNAcentral